UGCAAGUAGAACGCUGAAAUAAGAGCUUGCUCUUAUGGAUGAGUUGCGAACGGGUGAGUAACACGUGGGGAACCUACCUUCUAGCGGGGGAUAACACAUAGAAAUGUGUGCUAAUACCGCAUAACAAUGAUUGAUGCAUAUCGAUUAUUUGAAAGGCGCAAUUGCGUCACUAGAAGAUGGCCCCGCGGUGCAUUAGCUAGUUGGUGAGGUAACGGCUCACCAAGGCAAUGAUGCAUAGCCGACCUGAGAGGGUGAUCGGCCACACUGGGACUGAGACACGGCCCAGACUCCUACGGGAGGCAGCAGUAGGGAAUCUUCGGCAAUGGACGAAAGUCUGACCGAGCAACGCCGCGUGAGUGAAGAAGGUUUUCGGAUCGUAAAACUCUGUUGUAAGAGAAGAACGUUGAUGAGAGUGGAAAGUUCAUCAAGUGACGGUAUCUUACCAGAAAGCCACGGCUAACUACGUGCCAGCAGCCGCGGUAAUACGUAGGUGGCAAGCGUUGUCCGGAUUUAUUGGACGUAAAGCGAGCGCAGGCGGUUGAUUAAGUCUGAUGUGAAAGCCCCCGGCUCAACCGGGGAGGGUCAUUGGAAACUGGUCAACUUGAGUGCAGAAGAGGAGAGUGGAAUUCCAUGUGUAGCGGUGAAAUGCGUAGAUAUAUGGAGGAACACCAGUGGCGAAGGCGGCUCUCUGGUCUGUAACU
This 701-nucleotide ribosomal RNA is filed under the name uncultured bacterium. RNAcentral describes it as "bacterial SSU rRNA". It matches the Rfam family "Bacterial small subunit ribosomal RNA", at positions 56 to 741 of the family's 1533-position model. The record is from RNAcentral.